This 374-nucleotide ribosomal RNA is filed under the name uncultured bacterium. RNAcentral's name for it is "bacterial SSU rRNA". It matches the Rfam family "Bacterial small subunit ribosomal RNA", at positions 29 to 403 of the family's 1533-position model. The record is from RNAcentral.
AUUGAACGCUGGCGGAAUGCUUUACACAUGCAAGUCGAGCGGCAGCGCGGGGGCAACCCUGGCGGCGAGCGGCGAACGGGUGAGUAACACAUCGGAACGUGUCCUUAAGUGGGGGAUAGCUCGGCGAAAGCCGGAUUAAUACCGCAUAAGCUCUGAGGAGGAAAGCGGGGGCUCCGUAAGGACCUCGCGCUGUUGGAGCGGCCGAUGUCGGAUUAGCUAGUUGGUGGGGUAAAGCCCACCAAGGCGACGAUCCGUAGCUGGUCUGAGAGGAUGAUCAGCCACACUGGAACUGAGACACGGUCCAGACUCCUACGGGAGGCAGCAGUGGGGAAUAUUGGACAAUGGGCGCAAGCCUGAUCCAGCCAUGCCGCGUG